AUGCUACAAGGCCUGCUAUCAUCACUAUCACCACCAGGAAGUCGUAAAUUAUAAUCAACAUUACCUAAGUCUGAACAAAACAAAUCCAACAUUUUCCCGCCUAAACUGCCUCACUCGGGACUUCGUGUUGAGCGGCCAACAACAGAUUUCUCCCUGUUUUGUCUCGUUACCGGGUUUUCUUCUCCCUCUGUUGUGCAUUAAGAGAUAUUGAAGACCCUGCUCGUGGACCAAAGGACAGUGAAAUCACCGCAAACAAGGAUGUGGAAAAGAUCGGUGUGGCUGGAGGGCAGAAAAGAAGAGGAGUGUGUGGUACCAUCUACCUGGAUAGUUGAAGGCAGCCAGAUUUUAUAUUGGCCAUCAAAAGUUGAUGCUCACAAUGCCUUAACUAGUCGAGAAGACCCAGACCCCAAAUCAUGGAGAAAAUUUCCAUUGAUAAAAGUAAAAAUAGCUUCUGACAGUUACGAGGAAUGUGAACAGUACCAGCUGACAUCAGCAGUAGACAGUGACAGAAGCAGCAGUGACCUGGAUGGGGAAGACGGUUUGACCUUGCGUGGUAGGAAGAAACGUAUGAAGAAAGCUCUGCCAAAGGACUUUAUUAGUAGUCAGGAUUUGGAUUGUCCACGUAAGUCUGUAUUCAGUUACUGACAUUUGCAAGCAUGUAUAAGGUUUUUCUAGACAAAAAUAUGUACCUACAUACAUACACUAUCUUCUACUCAUGCUCAUCCCUAUACUGUCCAAACCCCUUAUGCAAGAGUUAAUCAGCAUCUUCACUCUUUCAUCCCUCACGCUGGUAAACUCUGGAACAAUCUUCCUUCAUCUAUAUUUCCUCCUGCCUACGACUUGAACUCUUUCAAGAGGAGGGUAUCAGGACAUCUCUCCUCCCGAAUUUGACCUUGCUUUUGGACACCUCUUUUGUUUCUUUUUUAGGAGCAGCAAGUAGCGGGCUUUUUUUUAUUAUUGUUUUCUUUUUUGUGUGCCCUUGAGCUGCCUCCUGUGCUCCUGUCACGCACAAUCACUCUACUGCUAUGCUCUAGUGUCAGUCCCCUUCCCUUAACUGCCUCCUUCACACUAUCAAUCCAUCCUUUUCGCGGCCGCCCUCUCAGAUUCCUACCCCUCCCGUUUGAACUUACUAUCUUCUUCACCAACCUGUCAUCCUCCAUUCUUUCAACAUGA
Long non-coding RNA from Eriocheir sinensis (Chinese mitten crab), 1173 nucleotides. RefSeq lists it as uncharacterized. NCBI's taxonomy places the organism in Eukaryota, Metazoa, Arthropoda, Malacostraca, Decapoda, Varunidae. The transcript is spliced from 3 exons. The record is from RefSeq and is a predicted model, not a curated record.